AUCCAAUCAAAUCUCUCGAGGGUUGGAUCGAAUCAUAAAGCUGAGGAUCCACUUUAAAAUGCCGAACGAAAAGCAAUGAUUUGAUUGUCCUUUUCUCCACCGGACCCGAGACUAGAGAAAAGAAAACCAGUAAAAAAGCUCAGCUGCUGCCACGCUUCGGUGGGGGCUUUUAAUGCAGGCGAGAGCGAAAGGAGACGCCUUUUCCACCCUGCGUUGUCCUCUUCUACAGUUCUACCCCACACCUAUUCCCUCCUCCCUCCUCCUCCUCCUGAGACGAGCGUGAUCGCUCGAGAAGGAAACCCUAUUCCCACCUCUUCUUCUUCCUUCGUUCCUCUCCCCGUUUCUCCUCCCUUCCUGCAAAACAAAGGGAAGAAGAAGAAAAAAAAAUGCAAACCAUGCUGAAUCUCAACAGCUCCUCCGGCCUCCCCCUCUGCGUUUCCGGGAUCACUCGCGCCCUCCCUCUCUCCCGAGAGAUGCUGGAUCACGAUCGCCGGACGAGGGCUAUGAAGAGGAUGAGGUCCCGAUACGGUCGGGGGUCAGCCGCGCCCGGCGAGACGGGUCGCGAGACGGCGGCUGAGGCGGCGACGCAGCGCGGUUCGAUCCCGGAAGGUGGCGAUCUCUCCGGAGAUCUGGCCGUCGGCGGCGGCGGCGGCGGCAGCAGCAGCAGCUUCGGACCCUGUACAGCAAAAGCCGCUUAGCUCUCGAGAUUCGCUCCCCACCACCACCGAAGAUCUUGUGGGUUUGCCACGGCCAGUGCCAUCCCUACUGAUCUCUUCUUCUUCCUCCUCCUCUCUUCUUCUUCUUCUUCUUCUUUCAUUUCCAGUUUCUAUGGGCUUCUGUAAAAAUCGGUCAAUACUUUUUUUUGCAUGUGAAGAUUUAGGGUUGCAAAGUGCAUUCUGAGUCGAAAUCUGUGAUGGGCUUUUCUUCGAUUCUGAGGAAUGUUUUUGGUUUUCCCGUUUUUGUUUGUUCAUUCGUUUCGGUCGGGAGUCCUGUCGGAGAUAAAAUUAUACAAAAUUUGAUUCCGCUAUGAAGGGAUGGAGCCAACCAUGAUGUCUGUACUGGCUGGCCCCCGCUCGAAGCCGAUGUGAUAUAUACAUAAAUAUAUAUAUCUUAGAUAUACAAAAUUAAUCCACUCAUUUCCAGUUAUUCGACGUUGAAUAUUAUAAUUAGCCAACUCAAAUUUCCAGUAGCAAUUAUAUUUAUUCUAAACUUCUGUAUUUUGUGAAUCCCCGAACAGAAACUUGUAGAGUUGAAAUGGUCCUGAAGCUCCAGGAUCUGAUAAUUUCAAGCUCUGGGCUUGAAAUGGAGACUAUUCUAGGAGCUAGGUUCUUUCGAAAGAUCAAGUGUUAAUUCAUACAUGGAUUACUGAGUUUUGGUUGGGAUUUCGAAUCGAAAAUAGGUUUCGUACGUGGGAUCUCAAAGACUCGAAGCGGUCCCUCCUUGAAAUUGAAGCAAUUUGUCUGCGGCACGAUCGAAUAGCCCAGUACAUGUAAUGCAGCCAUUUGCGGCGUGGUGGAUAUUGGAUAAUACUAGUGCAGCGCUACGUAGGGUGGCGCAUUAGCUCUUGAAAAGACAGUGAAAAAUAAGAUCUAGAGCAAAUGGAUAAAUCUUUAGGUGUCUAGUCGAGAUAUUCAAUUUUUCGUGUUCGUCAAACUGAAGACAUGAACUGAUCAACGACAACGAAUUCUAAAAUCAGAAUGGUUUGCGGGGCAGGGAAAUGUGAUAGGUUGAGCAAGAUGAUGUAUUGUUGCUUUCUCAAAUGCAGAUCCAAAGUUGCUCGAGCUCUCUACUUUGCGCUCCGUUCGGCAAAUCUUAUUUCGGAUGGUCAUGAAUAUCAAGAACUCAGUCAAUCUCACUUCAAAAGGAAUAACUACAGGGCCAUCUUCUCUGUCCCCCGGGCAUAAGAUAUUGCUGAGAUCCAUGGCGAACAGGCCUCAUGUCAUGAAGGUGAAAAGUAAACUCUCUUACUUAUGUCCUACCUCCGUCAUGUCAUGAAUAUCUUUGCAAGUCUAAACAGCUUUCCUCAAGUUUCUACUUUUGAUUCAAGCAGAAUAAAAAGGAAAAGCAGACACCCUACAGAAUACGCCUCAGCACUUAAUGAUGAGAGACAAGCACUAGAGCAGAUUUCAGGACCCCAACAACUAAUAAAAUACUGUGCUGAUCUAGUGGAAGGUAAUGUGAUCCCAUGCUUAUUAAAUUCGCAAGUAAAAUCAGGACUGGGGUGGUCAUGAGAUUACUAACCAGG
This is an RNA transcript of Eucalyptus grandis, 2245 nucleotides long. RefSeq lists it as uncharacterized. Lineage: Eukaryota; Viridiplantae; Streptophyta; Magnoliopsida; Myrtales; Myrtaceae. The transcript is spliced from 4 exons. The record is from RefSeq and is a predicted model, not a curated record.